UUUAGAGAUAGAGGCGUGCUCGAAAGAGAGCCGUAACACAGGUGCUGCAUGGCUGUCGUCAGCUCGUGUCGUGAGAUGUUGGGUUAAGUCCCGCAACGAGCGCAACCCUUGUCAUUAGUUGCUACAUUCAGUUGGGCACUCUAAUGAGACUGCCGGUGACAAGCCGGAGGAAGGUGGGGAUGACGUCAAGUCCUCAUGGCCCUUAUAGGUGGGGCUACACACGUCAUACAAUGGCUGGUACAAAGGGUUGCCAACCCGCGAGGGGGAGCUAAUCCCAUAAAGCCAGUCGUAGUCCGGAUCGUAGUCUGCAACUCGACUACGUGAAGUCGGAAUCGCUAGUAAUCGUGGAUCAGAAUGUCACGGUGAAUACGUUCCCGGGUCUU
RNAcentral lists this ribosomal RNA (383 nucleotides) under uncultured Rhodoferax sp. RNAcentral's name for it is "bacterial SSU rRNA". It matches the Rfam family "Bacterial small subunit ribosomal RNA", at positions 999 to 1382 of the family's 1533-position model. The record is from RNAcentral. Lineage: Bacteria; Pseudomonadati; Pseudomonadota; Betaproteobacteria; Burkholderiales; Comamonadaceae.